GUCAUGAGAAAAGAGCUAUGUGCAGGUCGCCCUGUGCUCCAUCCUCGAUCCAGCUCAGUCAUCUCCCUCUCAUCCUCUCUCUCUGCUCCGCGUGUGUGUGUAGGGAGUGGGAGGAGAUGAAGCAGGGGAGUGGGAGGCCCUUCCAUGGCAAUUCAUAGGCAUCUUCCAUGGAGAUUGUUGUGCGUCUACUACUCAAAAGUCCACAAUAGUUCAACGAAAAAUGUCUACAUCAGUUUCAACUCAAAAAGACCAUAGAUGAAGAAAAAGACCACCAGCACGUUUUGGUCCACACAGGCCAUCAGAGGAAGAAAAAAAGGUUUCUUCAUUCAGUUCCGGUUGCUCUAGGAUUUCUCCAUGCUCUGGAGGGAAGUAACUGACUUGUGGUUUGGAGUCGUACCUACUGUAUAACAAAUAUGUGUCACCAAAUAUGUGUUGAAUACUGUUGAUUGGAGGGAUGUGCAUUGUUGGAGAACUGUUGUUUGGUACCUAAUGGAAUUUGCACAUCACUUGUUCUCAUUUUUUGGGUGAAAGUUUGCUUCGUAUUGCAUAACUGCUGCAGUAUACCUUCUAUGCAUGGCAAUGUAAACAUACAAAAUAUAUAUGCUACUCCUGGAAGGGCUGAUGUAGUGAACAAUUUUCUACCAUGGCAAUUUUCCUGAAAGGGCUGCUGUAGUGAACAUGGUGCCAACUUGUUGCUAGUUAUAUUGAAAGUCCACCUUGCAAAACAACAUCAGUUCUCUCAUGAACAUGCGUCGGUUCAAGGGGUGGACAUGCAUCGGUUCAAGGGUUACAAAGUAAAAAAAGCAAUGUAUACACAGACCCCAUAACAAUGUUUCCUUCUAUAAAAAAAUAUUUAACUAGGUAAUGCAAGGCAUUGCACUGGUUCAAUAUAGUCAAAAAAACCUAAUAGUUCAACCGAGACCAUUGGGAGGUUCAAUGAAUACAAUAUGACGGUUAGAAAAAAGAUAGCAUGUUUUAUGAAAAAUGUGCUUUGGUCCAUGAAAACAUACUCCGUACAAAUCCAUGCGGAGAUCAGUUUGGGUACUCUAUUUUUGAAUGAAAAAAAAACACAAACGGUCUCACCGUAUUCAAAAAUAUUUAUGAAAAAUACCUCAAUACAAACACACAAAUAGAUCAGUACGAGUACUCUGUUUUUCGACUGGAAAGACAACACGAUGGGUCUCACCGUAUUCAAAAUCACUAUUCAACGGUUGCGAAUUUGAGAAAAUAUUCAACAUGAUUAAGUUCCGCAUUUUUGAUAUAUUUCCAACGGUAUAUUAUUUGCCCUAUUUCGAUAAUUUUUUAAACAAAUCGUGUUUAAAACAUAAGGAAUUAGAAAAACAUUUAUAUACAAAAAAGUUGCGCAUUUUCCGUUGCUUCUUGAUCCAGCUGAGAGAACCCUCAUGUUAAAAAGUAUAAAAGCAGUUUUGAAGCAAUUUCUAGUGUCUUUAGAAGCAUUCAUGGUUAAAAAACAAAA
Long non-coding RNA from Aegilops tauschii subsp. strangulata, 1477 nucleotides. RefSeq lists it as uncharacterized. NCBI's taxonomy places the organism in Eukaryota, Viridiplantae, Streptophyta, Magnoliopsida, Poales, Poaceae. The record is from RefSeq and is a predicted model, not a curated record.